Molecule: ribosomal RNA, 572 nt
Filed under: uncultured bacterium
Lineage: Bacteria
Description: partial 16S ribosomal RNA
Rfam family: Bacterial small subunit ribosomal RNA
Source: RNAcentral
UGGGGAAUUUUGGACAAUGGGCGAAAGCCUGAUCCAGCAAUGCCGCGUGUGUGAAGAAGGCCUUCGGGUUGUAAAGCACUUUUGUCCGGAAAGAAAUCCUUGGCUCUAAUACAGUCGGGGGAUGACGGUACCGGAAGAAUAAGCACCGGCUAACUACGUGCCAGCAGCCGCGGUAAUACGUAGGGUGCAAGCGUUAAUCGGAAUUACUGGGCGUAAAGCGUGCGCAGGCGGUUUGCUAAGACCGAUGUGAAAUCCCCGGGCUCAACCUGGGAACUGCAUUGGUGACUGGCAGGCUAGAGUAUGGCAGAGGGGGGUAGAAUUCCACGUGUAGCAGUGAAAUGCGUAGAGAUGUGGAGGAAUACCGAUGGCGAAGGCAGCCCCCUGGGCCAAUACUGACGCUCAUGCACGAAAACGUGGGGAGCAAAACAGGAUUAGAUACCCUGGUAGUCCACGCCCUAAACGAUGUCAACUAGUUGUUGGGGAUUCAUUUCCUUAGUAACGUAGCUAACGCGUGAAGUUGACCGCCUGGGGAGUACGGUCGCAAGAUUAAAACUCAAAGGAAUUGACGGGGU